UACGGAGGGUGCAAGCGUUGUCCGGAUUUAUUGGGUUUAAAGGGUGCGUAGGCGGCCCGUUAAGUCAGUGGUGAAAUCCCAGGGCUCAACCCUGGAACUGCCAUUGAUACUGACGGGCUUGAGUUCGGUUAAGGCGGGCGGAACUGGUGGUGUAGCGGUGAAAUGCAUAGAUACCACCAAGAACACCGAUUGCGAAGGCAGCUUGCUGGACCUGUAUUGACGCUGAGGCACGAAAGCGUGGGGAGCAAACAGG
This 253-nucleotide ribosomal RNA is filed under the name uncultured bacterium. RNAcentral's name for it is "partial 16S ribosomal RNA". It matches the Rfam family "Bacterial small subunit ribosomal RNA", at positions 524 to 776 of the family's 1533-position model. The record is from RNAcentral.